This 80-nucleotide transfer RNA is filed under the name Bigelowiella natans. RNAcentral describes it as "tRNA-Leu". It matches the Rfam family "tRNA". Rfam says of the family: Transfer RNA (tRNA) molecules are approximately 80 nucleotides in length. Their secondary structure includes four short double-helical elements and three loops (D, anti-codon, and T loops). Further hydrogen bonds mediate the characteristic L-shaped molecular structure. tRNAs have two regions of fundamental functional importance: the anti-codon, which is responsible for specific mRNA codon recognition, and the 3' end, to which the tRNAs corresponding amino acid is attached (by aminoacyl-tRNA synthetases). tRNAs cope with the degeneracy of the genetic code in two manners: having more than one tRNA (with a specific anti-codon) for a particular amino acid; and 'wobble' base-pairing, i.e. permitting non-standard base-pairing at the 3rd anti-codon position. The record is from RNAcentral. Lineage: Eukaryota; Cercozoa; Chlorarachniophyceae.
GUCGUCGUGGCGGAAUUGGUAUACGCGCCGGUUUUAGAAACCGGUCCUUCGGGUUGGGGGUUCGAGUCCCUCCGGCGACA